GGGUUGUGAGGUUAAGCGACUAAGCGUACACGGUGGAUGCCCUGGCAGUCAGAGGCGAUGAAGGGCGUGCUAAUCUGCGAUAAGCGCCGGUAAGGUGAUAUGAACCGUUAUAACCGGCGAUACCCGAAUGGGGAAACCCAGUGUGACUCGUCACACUAUCAUUAACUGAAUCCAUAGGUUAAUGAGGCGAACCGGGGGAACUGAAACAUCUAAGUACCCCGAGGAAAAGAAAUCAACCGAGAUUCCCCCAGUAGCGGCGAGCGAACGGGGAGGAGCCCAGAGCCUGAAUCAGCAUGUGUGUUAGUGGAAGCGUCUGGAAAGGCGCGCGAUACAGGGUGACAGCCCCGUACACAAAAGCGCAUGUGCUGUGAGCUCGAUGAGUAGGGCGGGACACGUGGUAUCCUGUCUGAAUAUGGGGGGACCAUCCUCCAAGGCUAAAUACUCCUGACUGACCGAUAGUGAACCAGUACCGUGAGGGAAAGGCGAAAAGAACCCCGGCGAGGGGAGUGAAAAAGAACCUGAAACCGUGUACGUACAAGCAGUGGGAGCACAGGUUUACCUGUGUGACUGCGUACCUUUUGUAUAAUGGGUCAGCGACUUAUAUUCUGUAGCAAGGUUAACCGUAUAGGGGAGCCGUAGGGAAACCGAGUCUUAACCGGGCGUUAAGUUGCAGGGUAUAGACCCGAAACCCGGUGAUCUAGCCAUGGGCAGGUUGAAGGUUGGGUAACACUAACUGGAGGACCGAACCGACUAAUGUUGAAAAAUUAGCGGAUGACCUGUGGCUGGGGGUGAAAGGCCAAUCAAACCGGGAGAUAGCUGGUUCUCCCCGAAAGCUAUUUAGGUAGCGCCUCGUGAAUUCAUCUCCGGGGGUAGAGCACUGUUUCGGCUAGGGGGCCAUCCCGGCUUACCAACCCGAUGCAAACUGCGAAUACCGGAGAAUGUUAUCACGGGAGACACACGGCGGGUGCUAACGUCUGUCGUGAAGAGGGAAACAACCCAGACCGCCAGCUAAGGUCCCAAAGUCAUGGUUAAGUGGGAAACGAUGUGGGAAGGCCCAGACAGCCAGGAUGUUGGCUUAGAAGCAGCCAUCAUUUAAAGAAAGCGUAAUAGCUCACUGGUCGAGUCGGCCUGCGCGGAAGAUGUAACGGGGCUAAACCAUGCACCGAAGCUGCGGCAGCGACGCUGAUGCGUUGUUGGGUAGGGGAGCGUUCUGUAAGCCUGUGAAGGUGGCCUGUGAGGGUUGCUGGAGGUAUCAGAAGUGCGAAUGCUGACAUAAGUAACGAUAAAGCGGGUGAAAAGCCCGCUCGCCGGAAGACCAAGGGUUCCUGUCCAACGUUAAUCGGGGCAGGGUGAGUCGACCCCUAAGGCGAGGCCGAAAGGCGUAGUCGAUGGGAAACGGGUUAAUAUUCCCGUACUUGGUGUUACUGCGAAGGGGGGACGGAGAAGGCUAUGUUGGCCGGGCGACGGUUGUCCCGGUUUAAGCGUGUAGGUGUGUGUUCCAGGUAAAUCCGGUUCACUUUAACACUGAGGCGUGAUGACGAGGCACUACGGUGCUGAAGCAACAAAUGCCCUGCUUCCAGGAAAAGCCUCUAAGCAUCAGGUAACAUCAAAUCGUACCCCAAACCGACACAGGUGGUCAGGUAGAGAAUACCAAGGCGCUUGAGAGAACUCGGGUGAAGGAACUAGGCAAAAUGGUGCCGUAACUUCGGGAGAAGGCACGCUGACACGUAGGUGAAGUGAUUUACUCAUGGAGCUGAAGUCAGUCGAAGAUACCAGCUGGCUGCAACUGUUUAUUAAAAACACAGCACUGUGCAAACACGAAAGUGGACGUAUACGGUGUGACGCCUGCCCGGUGCCGGAAGGUUAAUUGAUGGGGUCAGCGCAAGCGAAGCUCCUGAUCGAAGCCCCGGUAAACGGCGGCCGUAACUAUAACGGUCCUAAGGUAGCGAAAUUCCUUGUCGGGUAAGUUCCGACCUGCACGAAUGGCGUAAUGAUGGCCAGGCUGUCUCCACCCGAGACUCAGUGAAAUUGAACUCGCUGUGAAGAUGCAGUGUACCCGCGGCAAGACGGAAAGACCCCGUGAACCUUUACUAUAGCUUGACACUGAACAUUGAGCCUUGAUGUGUAGGAUAGGUGGGAGGCUUUGAAGCGUGGACGCCAGUCUGCAUGGAGCCGGCCUUGAAAUACCACCCUUUAAUGUUUGAUGUUCUAACGUGGACCCGUGAUCCGGGUUGCGGACAGUGUCUGGUGGGUAGUUUGACUGGGGCGGUCUCCUCCUAAAGAGUAACGGAGGAGCACGAAGGUUGGCUAAUCCUGGUCGGACAUCAGGAGGUUAGUGCAAUGGCAUAAGCCAGCUUGACUGCGAGCGUGACGGCGCGAGCAGGUGCGAAAGCAGGUCAUAGUGAUCCGGUGGUUCUGAAUGGAAGGGCCAUCGCUCAACGGAUAAAAGGUACUCCGGGGAUAACAGGCUGAUACCGCCCAAGAGUUCAUAUCGACGGCGGUGUUUGGCACCUCGAUGUCGGCUCAUCACAUCCUGGGGCUGAAGUAGGUCCCAAGGGUAUGGCUGUUCGCCAUUUAAAGUGGUACGCGAGCUGGGUUUAGAACGUCGUGAGACAGUUCGGUCCCUAUCUGCCGUGGGCGCUGGAGAACUGAGGGGGGCUGCUCCUAGUACGAGAGGACCGGAGUGGACGCAUCACUGGUGUUCGGGUUGUCAUGCCAAUGGCACUGCCCGGUAGCUAAAUGCGGAAGAGAUAAGUGCUGAAAGCAUCUAAGCACGAAACUUGCCCCGAGAUGAGUUCUCCCUGAGACUUAGAGUCUCCUGAAGGAACGUUGAAGACGACGACGUUGAUAGGCCGGGUGUGUAAGCGCAGCGAUGCGUUGAGCUAACCGGUACUAAUGAACCGUGAGGCUUAACCUUACAACGCCGAAG
This 2929-nucleotide ribosomal RNA is filed under the name Salmonella enterica. RNAcentral describes it as "23S ribosomal RNA". It matches the Rfam family "Bacterial large subunit ribosomal RNA". The record is from RNAcentral. RNAcentral also lists the same sequence under 1 other name. Lineage: Bacteria; Pseudomonadati; Pseudomonadota; Gammaproteobacteria; Enterobacterales; Enterobacteriaceae.